ACUCAAAGGAAUAGACGGGGGCCCGCACAAGCGGUGGAGCAUGUGGAUUAAUACGUCACUAACCGUAGAACCUUACCCAGGCUUGACAUCUGAGGAACCCUCCUGAAAGGGAGGGGUGCCCGCAAGGGAGCCUCAAGACAGGUGUUGCAUGGCUGUCGUCAGCUCGUGUCGUGAGAUGUUGGGUUAAGUCCCGCAACGAGCGCAACCCUCAUCGUAUGUUGCCAGCGUAAAGUCGGGCACUCUUACGAAACUGCCCGUGCAAACGGGAGGAAGGUGAGGACGACGUCAAGUCAGCAUGGCCCUUACGCCUGGGGCUUCACACAUGCUACAAUGGCCGGUACAGAGGGUCCCGAUACCGUGAGGUGGAGGCAAUCCCAAAAAGCCGGUCUCAGUUCGGAUCGCAGGCUGCAACUCGCCUGCGUGAAGUCGGAAUCGCUAGUAACCGCCGGUCAGCUAAACGGCGGUGAAUACGUUCCCGGGCCUUGCACACACCGCCCGU
RNAcentral lists this ribosomal RNA (499 nucleotides) under uncultured bacterium. RNAcentral's name for it is "partial 16S ribosomal RNA". It matches the Rfam family "Bacterial small subunit ribosomal RNA", at positions 899 to 1397 of the family's 1533-position model. The record is from RNAcentral.